UACGUAGGGUGCAAGCGUUGUCCGGAAUUAUUGGGCGUAAAGAGCUCGUAGGCGGUCUGUCGCGUCUGCUGUGAAAACUCAGGGCUUAACCCUGAGCUUGCAGUGGGUACGGGCAGACUAGAGUGCGGUAGGGGAGACUGGAAUUCCUGGUGUAGCGGUGAAAUGCGCAGAUAUCAGGAGGAACACCGGUGGCGAGGGCGGGUCUCUGGGCCGUAACUGACGCUGAGAAGCGAAAGCAUGGGGAGCGAACAGG
Molecule: ribosomal RNA, 253 nt
Filed under: uncultured bacterium
Lineage: Bacteria
Description: partial 16S ribosomal RNA
Rfam family: Bacterial small subunit ribosomal RNA
Source: RNAcentral